RNAcentral lists this long non-coding RNA (286 nucleotides) under Gossypium barbadense (sea-island cotton). RNAcentral's name for it is "long non-coding RNA (GBAR_LNC010440)". The record is from RNAcentral. Lineage: Eukaryota; Viridiplantae; Streptophyta; Magnoliopsida; Malvales; Malvaceae.
GACAAUGGCAAAGAAUCUAUUUCAUGGAGCUAUAGUAAUGAAGGCGCGGAUCUCAUCAGCUAGGUGGACUUGCUCCAGUGCGGCCCAAUCAAUGCAUCGGCCUAAACCGAGUGGUUUUUGUCGAAGUAAUUGGAAUAGAUCCUCCUGGGGGCCCACCGAAAAUCGAAGAUAAAGGUGGCAGACCUCGGCGGAUGCGCUCGAGGAGGAGGUCCCACCGGGGCCUUUUCGCUUUUCGAAGCGGGGACGGCUACCUUAGACUUGCCGCGUGUGUUCGUCAUAGUGUGCC